This 3921-nucleotide ribosomal RNA is filed under the name Triticum aestivum (bread wheat). RNAcentral describes it as "partial small subunit ribosomal RNA". Lineage: Eukaryota; Viridiplantae; Streptophyta; Magnoliopsida; Poales; Poaceae. The record is from RNAcentral.
AACAACACUGCCUAUCUGUUUCUCCAUACAUCUGGGAUGCAAUUAGAUCGACAUUUAGGAAAAUUUGGGGUAUUUUUCUAUCCUCUGAUACCCUUACACAGAAGCAGAGUAUGUAUGUUCAGUUUGGUUCAGGGCCACUUGUUCUUAUCAGUUAAUACCACUUAAUUGACACAGUUGGCUAUAGCAGUCACAAGUGUUCUGAACUUUGUACUUUACCAUUGUGGUUGGAGAGUUUUCAAGUCUUUCGGUAGGUGCUUACUGCUAGCUGAGUGGACUAACAGUUUAACUAAUACAUCACUUAUUCCAUUUUCCAGUGCUCAUUCUGACAAUAUUGAGAAGAGGCCACCAUCAAACAGUGAGACAUUAGCAAUUCUCAGAAAGUAAUGGCGGAGAUUGUGAUUCUUCUAGCCAUUAAAAAGAUCGGAAUCGCCUUGGCAAGUAGAGCGGCAGACCAUGUCAGCGUGCACUUUGCAAAGUACAAGACACAACUAUUGGAGCUACAGGGCAGUAUGGGUCGUGUUGCAAGGGAGCUUCGCAUAAUGCAUGAUGUUCUAUGUCACAUGGACAUUCGAAACUGCAACAGUCAAGUAUAUGACGGCUGGUUGGAGGAGGUACGGAAAGUAGCACAUGUGAUGGAGGACAUGGUGGAUGAGUACUUGUAUCUAGUAGGACAGAAACAUGAUACAGGGUCUUGCUUUUACCUCAAAAAGGGGUUCAGAAAACAAAGUUCUCUGCUUUCUAUGAACCAGAUAGCUGUCAAGGUGAAAGAAAUAGAGAAAGACCUUACUCACCUGUCAGAGACAAAAACCCGUUGGGUUCCCAUGAUAAACAACGGGGAUAGUGGCAGCACUAAUUACAUCGUCAAGAGGUCCCAAGAUCUAGCAAAAAUUUCACGUUCCCUUGACGAAGAAGAUCUAGUGGGGGUUGAUAAAAACAGAGAAAAACUUGAGCAGUGGUUGGCAGGCGAUGAUUUUGGACACUCUGUAAUAGCCCUGCUUGGAAUGGGAGGUCUUGGUAAAACUGCUUUAGCUGCAAAUGUGUACAAGAAGGCAAGGGAGAAAUUUCAGUGCCACGCCUGGAUCUCCGUCUCCCAAACUUAUUCUAGAGAAGAUGUCUUGAAGAAUAUAAGCAAGGAACUUUUCAAAGAUAAUGUCAGUGUUCUAUCUAAAACUCCAGCUAUGGACAUCACAUGCCUUGAAGAGACAAUGAAGAGUUUUCUGGAGCAACAAAAGUAUUUGAUCAUAUUGGAUGAUGUUUGGACUCCAGAAACAUUUGAUGACUUGUCUAGGGUGCUUACUAAUAAUGAUAAAGGUAGUAGAAUUAUAAUGACAACAAGGGAAGGCCAUGUUGCUGCACUUGCCUCUCCAGGACACAUCUUAACACUAGCACCUUUACCAGAAGAUAAGGCAUGUGAUCUCUUUUGUAAAAAAGCCUUUCCAAGAGAUACUGAUCAUGAAUGUCCUGUGGAGUUGAAGCCUUUGUCCGAACAAAUAGUUAACAAAUGCAAAGGCUUGCCCCUUGUUAUUGUAUUAGUUGGUAGCCUUUUGUGUGUGCGCGAGAAAACAGUGGAAGAAUGGAGAAGAAUUAAUGAUCAAUUGAGUUGGGAGCUAAAUAACAAUUCAAGGUUUGAUCACAUAAGGAAUGUUUUGCAUCUGAGCUUCAUCUACCUUCCAACACACUUGAAAAGUUGUUUCCUGUACUGCAGCUUAUUUCCAGAAGACUAUCUUCUCAAAAGGAAACAACUUGUACGGUUAUGGAUAGCAGAGGGGUUCAUCGAGGGAAGGGGUGAUAGCACAUUAGAAGAAGUGGCAGAAGGCUAUCUGAAGGAGUUGAUUGAUAGAAACAUGCUGCAACUUGUUGAAAGGAAUAAUUUUGGUAGGAUGAAAAGAUUCAGAAUGCAUGACAUCUUACGUGAAUUGGCAGUUGACUUGUGCCAGAAGAACUGUUUUGGUGUUAUAUACGAGGAUAAGUGUGGGGGUUCUCUACAGAUGGAUGGACGUCGAUUGGUAAUGCAUAGAGUGAAGAAGGAUAUUCACCAGUCAUUUUCUAGCAUGCACCACCUUCGAACUGUCAUUAUACUGGAUGGCUGCAUGCCAUCAUUCACUCUACUUCCUCUGCUAUGUAAGAAAUCAAGAUAUAUGGCAGUGCUAGAAUUAAGUGGUCUACCUAUCGAGAAGCUUCCAGAUGCUAUUGGUGAUCUUUUUAAUCUCCGCCAUUUGUGUUUACGUGAUACAAAAGUGAAGGUGCUCCCGAAGUCUGUUGAGAAGCUUUCAAAUUUGUUGACACUGGACCUUCAUGGAUCUGACAUACAUGAGUUGCCUAGUGGGAUCGGGAAACUGAAGAAGCUUAGGCACUUAUUUGCUGAGAAAACAAUUGACCCAGAUUGGAGAGAGAUUCAAUGUUGCAGUGGUAUGUGUAUCCCCAAAGGUCUUGGAAAUCUAACAAACCUACAGACAUUACAAGCAUUGGAAGCACAAGAUGAGUCUGUUAGACAUUUAUGGGAGCUGACACAAGUGAGAAGUUUGAGGUUAUGGAAUGUGAAAGGAAACUACUGUGGCCGCAUCGGUGAGUCUCUAGUUCGGAUGCGCUAUUUGUCCUGCCUAGAUGUGAAUGCAAGUGCUGAGAACGAGGUUCUCUUGUUGAAUGUCUACCUGCCAAGCCUGCAAAAGCUGUAUUUGAGAGGACGACUAGCGGAAGGGGCUUUCGACGAGUCUCCUCUCUUCCAAGCUGUUGGGGGGCAGAACUUGCAUGUAUUGAAUCUAUCUUUAUCACAAUUGAGAGAAGACCCCCUGCCAUCCCUUUCUCGGUUGUCAAAUUUGACGCGUCUACAAUUCACUAGAGCCUACAACGGAGAGCAGCUGACAUUUCGCACAGGGUGGUUUCCCAAGCUAAAGAUUCUCGUUCUAAGAGACAUGCCUAAUCUGAAUCGGCUAGAGAUACAUAAAGGUGCCAUGGCGAGCCUGGAAAGAUUAGUCUUAGCCAACCUCAGCGGUAUGAUGGAGGUCCCACCUGGCAUUGAGUUUCUCAUGCCCCUCCAGCGUCUGGUCUUCCAGGAAAUCACCAAUGACUUCUUGACAUUGUUGCGCGAGUGUUCUGCAAUUCAAGGGGCCCAUGCGGUGUAUUCUCUCCGAUAUUGAAAUGCCCAGACUGGUUUGGAAAUGUGUGUGUACAUAAGUCACCGGCGGAAACGAAGAUGCUUCGCUAUGGAGUUCAUUAUUGUAGAUCAAGGAAAAAGGAGUAUCCGAUUCCAGUGUUAGUGUACGCUCGUGCUGCUGCUGAUUGUGCAUACUUUCCGGGUUUCCUCUGCUUUUAUUCAAGACGCACCAUUUGUUGCUUGUUCCACCUCCGCCACUGUUCGUGCCAUGGUGUGCUUUCCCUUGUCAAGUGUGACAAUCUUUCGUAUUGGUUUGUUCUGGUUGUGGCUAAAGGCGAGUGCUGUUUUCAUAUUCAGACUAAUUUUCACAUUACUUGUUUGAACUGUAUACUGCUAUUUCGUGUGCAUUCUUGUUCUGAGCAUAUUCCAGCUGUGUCUGUUAAAUAAAAGACUUAGUUUGCGAUUCUUAGUUAUUGCUCGGGCAUUCAUUUUUAUUGUCACUAUGGUUGUUGCAUGUCUGUUUUAUUGCUAGCCUUGUUGUGUCCCGUUUUAUAUCUCUUAUUUUGGACAUCUGUGAAUGUUGUUUCUUUCUUGGAUUACGUUCCUUGUUUUCUUGAGAAAUAUGCAGUGAAAAUGUUUUGGAAAGCACGCGGCAUGUUUAUACAUGUCCUUAAGAUUUUCCUUUUUAAAAUCGUGAACACACGGAGGAGGCGAUGGGUGAGCUGAUGUAAUCAAAUUACUUUCUACUCCUAGAUGAUAUGGGGGGUUGCAGUUCAAGCUGUACCAAACCAUGUUAUGCUUCACAGACAAUGCAUUCAGCAGCCCGA